AAGUCGUAACAAGGUAACCGUAGGUGAACCUGCGGUUGGAUCAUUAGUGGUUUUUACGCAGCGCUGUUGUAGUGUUUCUGUGUGGUGUUUGUGGUUGGUCUUUGAGUUUGUUGUUGGUUGUUUGUCUGUUUUGUGCAUUGCCUUGUGCGGUGCCUUGUGCGGUGCCUGGCAGUACAAACGAUCGACGGCAACACUCGGACCAGACCCAAGCCCUUGCAGACAAUAGACGUCUUUGCUUGCUUUGAUGAAACCAAAUCAAAAACAACUUUUGACAACGGAUCUCUUGGCUCUC
RNAcentral lists this unclassified non-coding RNA (292 nucleotides) under fungal sp. RNAcentral's name for it is "partial internal transcribed spacer region". The stretch from base 1 to 46 matches the Rfam family "Eukaryotic small subunit ribosomal RNA", at positions 1786 to 1831 of the family's 1831-position model. Lineage: Eukaryota; Fungi. The record is from RNAcentral.